Long non-coding RNA from Vitis riparia (riverbank grape), 631 nucleotides. RefSeq lists it as uncharacterized. NCBI's taxonomy places the organism in Eukaryota, Viridiplantae, Streptophyta, Magnoliopsida, Vitales, Vitaceae. The record is from RefSeq and is a predicted model, not a curated record. The transcript is spliced from 2 exons.
GCUCUUCUCUUCAUACCCACCAUGUGAGACUUCUGAGAUGUAUAAUGAAAAUAGCUUGUGGGUUUUGCUUGGUUUUGGGUUAAUUUUUGUCGGUGAACCUCAGUAUGGGAGAAUCUGUUAAGCUCAGGAGGGAUAGCGCCAUGAGCCAUGAUGAAAAUGAUUGUUGAGUUGAAAAUUUUUUCUAGCUUGUUUUUUGGGUCAUCAUUUUGUGUGUGUGGCGCUAUCUAUCCUGAGUUUCACGGGUUCUUCUUACUAUCUCUGGUGCAGUUUCAGCUUCAAGGACGAUAUUGAGUAUUUGGUAGGGUAAGGAUGAACUGUGGCUGUGAUCUCCUGUCAAAGAGCUGAAUCUUGUGGAUGCACCUUUGGUGUUUUUUUUUUUCUUUCUGUUCCUUUUAACCUAGAAUCAAGCUCUUCUGAUUAUGUCUUUCUUUUUGUUUUGAUUUGAGCAGGGUACUGAUAUCAAAAUAAGUGAUGUCAUCAUUAUGUGUUCUUCUUCUCUUCCUCUUCUCCUCUUCCUCCUUCUCUCUCUUUGUUACUGAUCGGAGAUAGGGUUACAUAUUGUUCUUUGGUUCUUUGGUUGCAUUUAUGAUUCUAUGAAAAGUAAAAGGGAAAACUUGGGUCUUCAGAUUAA